GAUGAACGCUGGCGGCGUGCCUAAUACAUGCAAGUCGAGCGAAUGGAUUAAGAGCUUGCUCUUAUGAAGUUAGCGGCGGACGGGUGAGUAACACGUGGGUAACCUGCCCAUAAGACUGGGAUAACUCCGGGAAACCGGGGCUAAUACCGGAUAAUAUUUUGAACUGCAUGGUUCAAAAUUGAAAGGCGGCUUCGGCUGUCACUUAUGGAUGGACCCGCGUCGCAUUAGCUAGUUGGUGAGGUAACGGCUCACCAAGGCAACGAUGCGUAGCCGACCUGAGAGGGUGAUCGGCCACACUGGGACUGAGACACGGCCCAGACUCCUACGGGAGGCAGCAGUAGGGAAUCUUCCGCAAUGGACGAAAGUCUGACGGAGCAACGCCGCGUGAGUGAUGAAGGCUUUCGGGUCGUAAAACUCUGUUGUUAGGGAAGAACAAGUGCUAGUUGAAUAAGCUGGCACCUUGAUGGUACCUAACCAGAAAGCCACGGCUAACUACGUGCCAGCAGUCGCGGUAA
This 515-nucleotide ribosomal RNA is filed under the name uncultured bacterium. RNAcentral describes it as "partial 16S ribosomal RNA". It matches the Rfam family "Bacterial small subunit ribosomal RNA", at positions 28 to 523 of the family's 1533-position model. The record is from RNAcentral.